Molecule: ribosomal RNA, 785 nt
Filed under: uncultured bacterium
Lineage: Bacteria
Description: bacterial SSU rRNA
Rfam family: Bacterial small subunit ribosomal RNA
Source: RNAcentral
AUUGGGCGUAAAGAGCUUGUAGGCGGUUUGUCGCGUCUGCUGUGAAAGCCCGGGGCUUAACCCCGGGUUUGCAGUGGGUACGGGCAGACUAGAGUGCAGUAGGGGAGACUGGAAUUCCUGGUGUAGCGGUGAAGUGCGCAGAUAUCAGGAGGAACACCAAUGGCGAAGGCAGGUCUCUGGGCUGUAACUGACGCUGAGAAGCGAAAGCAUGGGGAGCAAACAGGAUUAGAUACCCUGGUAGUCCAUGCCGUAAACGUUGGGCACUAGGUGUGGGGAACAUUCCACGUUUUCCGCGCCGUAGCUAACGCAUUAAGUGCCCCGCCUGGGGAGUACGGCCGCAAGGCUAAAACUCAAAGAAAUUGACGGGGGCCCGCACAAGCGGCGGAGCAUGCGGAUUAAUUCGAUGCAACGCGAAGAACCUUACCAAGGCUUGACAUAUACUAGAUCGCCUCAGAGAUGGGGUUUCCCUUCGGGGCUGGUAUACAGGUGGUGCAUGGUUGUCGUCAGCUCGUGUCGUGAGAUGUUGGGUUAAGUCCCGCAACGAGCGCAACCCUCGUUCUAUGUUGCCAGCACGUAAUGGUGGGGACUCAUAGGAGACUGCCGGGGUUAACUCGGAGGAAGGUGGGGAUGACGUCAAAUCAUCAUGCCCCUUAUGUCUUGGGCUUCACGCAUGCUACAAUGGCCGGUACAAAGGGUUGCGAUACUGUGAGGUUGAGCUAAUCCCAAAAAGCCGGUCUCAGUUCGGAUUGGGGUCUGCAACUCGACCCCAUGAAGUCGGAGUCGCU